This is a non-coding RNA of Macaca mulatta (Rhesus monkey), 101 nucleotides long. Lineage: Eukaryota; Metazoa; Chordata; Mammalia; Primates; Cercopithecidae. The record is from Rfam.
ACCAUGUUGUGGUUCGCAAGCGUGAUAAUUCAGUUUUUACGCUCACGUAUGAGACACACCUCCUUCAAAUCUUGUUAUGUCAUCACAUUAACCAUCUGAUG